This 2446-nucleotide long non-coding RNA is filed under the name Nicotiana benthamiana. RNAcentral describes it as "long non-coding RNA (NBEN_LNC042574)". The record is from RNAcentral. Lineage: Eukaryota; Viridiplantae; Streptophyta; Magnoliopsida; Solanales; Solanaceae.
ACAAUCAUAAAAAAGGACUAAGGAUUUCCACUUAUGGAUUCAGGUACGCUUCCGCUUAUGUUAUUAUUUCAAAUAAUUCGAUAUAAAGGCUAUUAUGUUUUAGUGGAUAUUAUAAUCCUAACAAUUCCAACUCUUGAUUCUCAGAUAGUCCUGUAGUAUAUUCUUAAUUUUCUCAGAGUAGUAAAUCCAACUCUUGUUUCAAUUAGCACAUGAUACGUGCACAAACUCCAAACUAAUUUGGACUUUGCUGGAAGUAGCGGCAAUUAUUGAAGUCCAUUAGGUUUUCAUGUGCUCGUCAGCAGAGGCGUAUCUAAUGAAUAAGUUACGGGUUCAUAUGACUGUAGUAGCUUUGAUUUAGGUCUUAUAUUUGGUAAAAUAUUUACUAACUAAACUCAAACAGUAGAUUUUGAAACCCAUAAAGUUAGAUGGGAUGCAGUAAAUUUCGAAUUUUAAUUCAUAAAAUUCAAAUUGUGAAUCUGCUGGUCGUGACUGGUAAGAUCUUUUUUUUUGGGAACUUCUCUUUGGUUGUCCACUUCGGGGAUCAUGUCGGGUUGGUGUUCGGUAGGGCCAGAAAUUUUGGCUGUAACGAAAUUAAAGUUCAACACGAGUUGUACUCCUUCUUUUCCCAAUUCAAAGUUUGUUACUCUCGUGUCUAAGUUUAGUGGCCAGGACUUGUCAUAAAAGAGUUUACCAUACGCAUAUUCGUUCUAACAUACAGACAAAAUUUGUCCAGAUGCCGACUUUUAGUUUCAUUUCACAUGGCUCUUAUGCACAAACUUAACUCCUCAACUACAUUACUUGAAGAUCCGUGGAAGUUAAGCAUAAUGGGGUUUUCUUUUUUUGGCAACUGCUAUACCUUUUUUAUUUUUCAUUGGUUAUCCGUUAUUUGCAUUAAAGUCUCAAUUUAUUUAGAUUCACAUUAUAAAAAAUAUUAAAGGGGAAACACUUUCUAUCAAUAUUUUUUCCCUUCCAAGACUCGCAUAUCUCUCGUUAAAAAUUAAGAGUGAAGAAUCAUAUACAUUCUACGGUUAAGGGUCAAAAAUGCCUUCAACCUAUCGACUCUGGAACCAAAAUGCCCUCCGUUUACCUUUGGCGAAGAAAAUGCCCCCACCGUUUUCUUUUUGGCCUAUUUGUACCCCUGGAAUCUAACGGUUGUUUUUUUAAUUUUUAUAAUAUUUGUAAUUCCACAUGUCAUUUGGCCAUUGGACAUUAAAUAUAAGUGACCCAAAUGAAUUUUUACCCCAAGUCCGACCCAACCCGUUAUUUCUAAUUCCACAUGUCAUUUAGCGAUUGGACAUUAAAUAUAAGUGACCCAAAUGAAUUUUUACCCCCAGUCUGACCCAACCAGACCCGCCUAAACCGACCCGACCCUAUAGACUUGCUUUUUAACCCCCCAAACCCACUAACCUUCUUCAUUUUCACCGCCUCAUGUUCUCUAACCAACAAUGGCGAUUCUGUAGGGUUUGCUGGAGCUGAUUUUGGAGGUCAACAUUCUGUGAUAUCACUUCGAGCAGGGGUUUUCUUCUCUUGAGGGUCUUCAAGCUUCAUAUGAAGUUUUCUCAAAAAGAAAACGGUGGGGGCAUUUUCUUCGCCAAAGGUAAACAGAGGGCAUUUUUGUUCCAGAGUCAAUAGGUUGAGGGCAUUUUUGACCCUUAACCGUACAUUCUAUUGCAAUCGUUAACUGUAAUAACUGCUAUACAGUUUCAACGCUUCUCAUAACUAUUAUUUUGAGAUUUUUUGAGAAAACUUCAUAUGAGAAUUUAAACCUUACACCUGUACCACGUAAAGUUGUUCUUCCAGAAUUCUCCUUAUAUCUCUAGGCUCGUCUACAUAUUACCAUCCCCAGACCCCAGUUUGUGGGACUAUACUGGGUAGUAAUAGUAGUAGUUGUUGUUGUUAUAUGUCAACCACAAAAAAGUUGGAGGAGUACUCUAGACUUGAAGUACCAUCACGAAUAAAGCCAGAAAGAAAAGCGGAUAUAACUAUUUUGGAAAAAAUUACUGGUUUUAUUAUGUGAAAAUAUCUUAUUAGUUUUUUCCAUUGGUAAUUGGAUAGUUUUUAAUGUCCCUCCUUUAUAGGAACUACAACGUAAUAAUUUUCACCUCUGUCAAUUUUAUAUGCGAGCGAGAUACUUAUUUUUUUGUAUAUUAGUAUGUGCAUUAGAUUUAGCAUAAAGUUUUCAAUACAAAUUUUCAAAAGCAAGCAAAUAUAAUUAUUUUUUGAAAAAUUACUGUUAAUUUCUAAUACUACUUUAUUGAAAUUGGGUUAAUUUUAUCACGUCCUAUCCUUGUAGAAUCUACCUAUUAUAACAGUGUUGAGUAUACUAUAUAUACCCUAGCUAGAGAUUUCAAGUUUUAUAUAUAUAUAUAUAUAAGCAUGUAAUCUUAGUUAGCCCAUCAUUAAUUAAGGUUACCCUUUUGGGUAUCUACACAUUAGUCCUACACUU